Molecule: ribosomal RNA, 439 nt
Filed under: uncultured bacterium
Lineage: Bacteria
Description: bacterial SSU rRNA
Rfam family: Bacterial small subunit ribosomal RNA
Source: RNAcentral
GUUUGAUCCUGGCUCAGAUUGAACGCUGGCGGCAUGCCUAACACAUGCAAGUCGAACGGCAGCACAGCAGUAGCAAUACUGUGGGUGGCGAGUGGCGGACGGGUGAGGAAUACGUCGGAAUCUGCCCAGUCGUGGGGGAUAACUAGCCGAAAGGUUAGCUAAUACCGCAUACGACCGAGAGGUGAAAGCGGGGACCGCAAGGCCUCGCGCGAUUGGAUGAGCCGACGUCGGAUUAGCUAGUUGGCGGGGUAAAGGCCCACCAAGGCGACGAUCCGUAGCUGGUCUGAGAGGAUGAUCAGCCACACUGGAACUGAGACACGGUCCAGACUCCUACGGGAGGCAGCAGUGGGGAAUAUUGGACAAUGGGCGCAAGCCUGAUCCAGCAAUGCCGCGUGUGUGAGAAGGCCUGGUGUAGACACUUAUCUAGACGAAAGACGUA